This 63-nucleotide transfer RNA is filed under the name Dorysthenes granulosus. Its description in RNAcentral is "tRNA-Cys". Lineage: Eukaryota; Metazoa; Arthropoda; Insecta; Coleoptera; Cerambycidae. The record is from RNAcentral.
GGUUUUAUAGUCAAUUAUGAUUUUGAAUUGCAAAUUCAAAGGUAAAAAUUAUUUUUAAAGCCU